RNAcentral lists this ribosomal RNA (392 nucleotides) under uncultured bacterium. RNAcentral describes it as "partial 16S ribosomal RNA". It matches the Rfam family "Bacterial small subunit ribosomal RNA", at positions 523 to 918 of the family's 1533-position model. The record is from RNAcentral.
AUACGGAGGAUCCGAGCGUUAUCCGGAUUUAUUGGGUUUAAAGGGUGCGCAGGCGGCCAUUUAAGUCAGCGGUUAAAUCGUGGGGCUCAACCCCAUUCUGCCGUUGAUACUGGGUGGCUUGAUUGCGGUCGAGGUUGGCGGCACUCGUUGUGUAGCGGGGAAAUGCAUAGAUAUGACGAAGAACACCGAUUGCGUAGGCAGCUGACCAGAUCGCAAAUGACGCUCAUGCACGAAAGUGCGGGGAUCGAACAGGAUUAGAUACCCUGGUAGUCCGCACAGUAAACGAUGAAUACUUGUUUUCGGCGAUAUAAUGUCGGAGGCAAAGCGAAAGCGGUAAGUAUUCCACCUGGGGAGUACGCCGGCAACGGUGAAACUCAAAGGAAUUGACGGGG